AUGAUCAUCCUUAUGAAAUCCAUGUUUAAAUGAAAAUACUUGAUAUUUCUUUUGUAUUUCAUAGGCUGAGAGACAAACCUCCUCUGGUCCAUCUUCUGCUCCUUGAGUUUGUCAGCCAGACUCUGUUGGUUGAUCUCAUCAUCCUGUGAAUUAUUACAAGAAAAGGACAUCAACUGUUUGUACAGGUUGCUGAUGUCCUCCUCGUAUUUGCUCCGCUCGUGGCAACAAUAUUAUUUGACUUUUCUUUCACAAAGCUGAACUGUACCUGUAGGUCUGUCUUGAUGAGCGAGGCUCCUGCUUGGACCAGAUAAUGACAGAUAGUUCUUUGACACAGGGACGCAGCUCGGUGAAGGACCGUCUCCCCCCUGGUCAACAGAAGAGAGAGAGAGAGAGACAACAUCACCCGAGGAACAGACAUCAACGGUGUCUGCUGCUUCUUUUGGUGUCUUGUGUUUAUGAUGGCACAUAUAUCAUCACAUAUAGACUGAACAGAGAUCAGAGCACAGAUACAGACACAGCAUCAUCAUCUACACUCUGUUAACAUUUAAAUAAAGUGUUUAGCAUUUUAAAAACCUCA
Long non-coding RNA from Labrus mixtus (cuckoo wrasse), 577 nucleotides. RefSeq lists it as uncharacterized. The transcript is spliced from 3 exons. Lineage: Eukaryota; Metazoa; Chordata; Actinopteri; Labriformes; Labridae. The record is from RefSeq and is a predicted model, not a curated record.